ACGGGAGGCAGCAGUGGGGAAUAUUGCACAAUGGGCGAAAGCCUGAUGCAGCGACGCCGCGUGAACGAAGAAGUAUUUCGGUAUGUAAAGUUCUAUCAGCAGGGAAGAAGAAUGACGGUACCUGACUAAGAAGCACCGGCUAAAUACGUGCCAGCAGCCGCGGUAAUACGUAUGGUGCAAGCGUUAUCCGGAUUUACUGGGUGUAAAGGGAGCGCAGGCGGUAUGGCAAGUCUGAUGUGAAAGCCCGGGGCUCAACCCCGGUACUGCAUUGGAAACUACCAGACUAGAGUGUCGGAGAGGUAAGUGGAAUUCCUAGUGUAGCGGUGAAAUGCGUAGAUAUUAGGAGGAACACCAGUGGCGAAGGCGGCUUACUGGACGAUAACUGACGCUGAGGCUCGAAAGCGUGGGGAGCAAACAGGAUUAGAUACCCUGGUA
This 435-nucleotide ribosomal RNA is filed under the name uncultured Lachnospiraceae bacterium. RNAcentral describes it as "partial 16S ribosomal RNA". It matches the Rfam family "Bacterial small subunit ribosomal RNA", at positions 341 to 792 of the family's 1533-position model. Lineage: Bacteria; Bacillati; Bacillota; Clostridia; Lachnospirales; Lachnospiraceae. The record is from RNAcentral. RNAcentral also lists the same sequence under 1 other name.